GGAGUUAGCCGGUGCUUCUUCUGUGAGUGAUGUCCUUCCUGCCGGUUAUUGACCCGCAGGCCUUCUUCCUCACUGAAAGUGCUUUACAACCCGAAGGCCUUCUUCACACACGCGGCAUGGCUGGAUCAGGGUUGCCCCCAUUGUCCAAUAUUCCCCACUGCUGCCUCCCGUAGGAGUCUGGGCCGUGUCUCAGUCCCAGUGUGGCUGAUCAUCCUCUCAGACCAGCUACGGAUCGUCGCCUUGGUGAGCCGUUACCUCACCAACCAGCUAAUCCGACAUAGGCUCAUCCGAUAGCGCGAGGCCCGAAGGUCCCCCGCUUUCCCCCGUAGGGCGUAUGCGGUAUUAUCCUGGGUUUCCCCAGGUUAUCCCCCACUACCGGGCAGAUUCCUAUGCAUUACUCACCCGUCCGCCGCUCGCCACCAGGGAGCAAGCUCCCCGUGCUGCCGCUCGACUUGCAUGUGUUAGGCCUGCCGCCAGCGUUCAAUCUGAGCCAGGAUCAAACUCUGA
This 507-nucleotide ribosomal RNA is filed under the name uncultured bacterium. Its description in RNAcentral is "partial 16S ribosomal RNA". The record is from RNAcentral.